This 450-nucleotide ribosomal RNA is filed under the name uncultured bacterium. RNAcentral describes it as "partial 16S ribosomal RNA". It matches the Rfam family "Bacterial small subunit ribosomal RNA", at positions 354 to 796 of the family's 1533-position model. The record is from RNAcentral.
GUGGGGAAUUUUGGACAAUGGGCGCAAGCCUGAUCCAGCAAUGCCGCGUGUGUGAAGAAGGCCUUCGGGUUGUAAAGCACUUUUGUCCGGAAAGAAAUGGCCUGGGUUAAUACCCCGGGUCGAUGACGGUACCGGAAGAAUAAGCACCGGCUAACUACGUGCCAGCAGCCGCGGUAAUACGUAGGGUGCGAGCGUUAAUCGGAAUUACUGGGCGUAAAGCGUGCGAAGGCGGCGAUGCAAGACAGAUGUGAAAUCCCCGGGCUCAACCUGGGAACUGCAUUUGUGACUGCAUGGCUAGAGUGCGGCAGAGGGGGGUGGAAUUCCGCGUGUAGCAGUGAAAUGCGUAGAGAUGCGGAGGAACACCGAUGGCGAAGGCAGCCCCCUGGGAUGACACUGACGCUCAUGCACGAAAGCGUGGGGAGCAAACAGGAUUAGAAACCCGGGUAGUCC